Capsicum annuum is the source of this 3418-nucleotide RNA transcript. RefSeq lists it as uncharacterized. The transcript has 7 exons. NCBI's taxonomy places the organism in Eukaryota, Viridiplantae, Streptophyta, Magnoliopsida, Solanales, Solanaceae. The record is from RefSeq and is a predicted model, not a curated record.
UAACCACAACUGUCCUUCAACUCACAAUCUCAAGAAUACUCGGGAACGACCGAUUUCACAAUCACUGUCGGCGGCAACACAACAACAACCGGAAAUAACAGUACAAUUUCAUGCGGUCUUUGCAUUCGGAUCUAGCUUACUUGUAGUGGUUAAAUAAAACCCUAGAAGCAUGGUUCUCUCUCGGUCUGUCAUUCCUAACCAAAAAAAGGACGUUUCUCUUCAUCUGCUAUUCGUCAUUUGGGCAUCACCGCUCACACUAAUGGGUUUCAUAUUAGCUCACUUUCAGUGUUAUAUUCUAAUUGCUUGGUCCAUGAAGAAUGGUCAUGGUGUGUUUGCAUAUUGUCAGCGUACAUGAAUAAUGUUCAGUGGACAAAAAGGCGCCAUCCAUCAGUUCUACUAUAGAAGUUUGGAUAGACUCGACACUAUUCCCCCCUCAAAAAAAAAAAACUCAGAAGAUUGUAUCGCAUUGAGAUGCCGAUUCAUUUUCCACCCACAAUGAGAAGAGAAGUGGGAACCUCCUAUUCAGUAGCCGGAAGAUCAAAAUGGAUCCUGGAGAAGCAGGAUCCCAGCUCAUGAGAAAUAUGGUUCCAUGCUGGUUCAAGGACGGACUUGUAGUCCUUCUAAUCUAACACUAUCUCAUUCAUUCAGAUUAUAAAUGAAGUUGCACAAAUGUGACUUGAUCAAUUUUAUAAAUUUGGGACUCAAUGCUUUCUCCUCCCUUUAUCCUCUUUACUUUGAUGACAUCUUUUAAAAUAUCAACUAUCAUUCACCCCGUAUAACAAAGAAGAAAAGGAUUUUCUUGAAAUACGUAUUAAGAACUCCACAUGCAAAAAUCCCCAAAGAUACCAAACAUCCACUGCUACAUGCUGCAGAAGAGCAAGUUUAAAUUCAUGAUAGAACCAGUAAACCUCAAACAUUUUGAUUCAGAAACGUCACUUAUUAAGCUCUUUCCAUUUGCCAGUGACCAUUUUGCUUUGACUUUUCAAGGUAUUGUUCUGAGUUCUUGUGUAUUGAGUGCACAUCUUAUGCUAAUAACUGUGUAGUAUUAUGCAGGAACCAUAUUAGGCCAGAUACUUCAUUUUAUGCAUUUAUCGAGUUUGUGAACAAAGAAGAUGUGAGUUUUUAAAAUGGUUGAAUCCUGAUGAGCCUUUCAGUUACUGAUGGCAGUCCUAUUUAUACACACACACCCCGGUUUAGAUGAUAUUUUAAAUCCUGUGGAUUAACUGUUAUGGAUGGUGUCCCAUUGGCAGGAAAAAUUAUUUUUGCUGCUCCUUUAUGCCCACUUGUUCUGCAGCAGGUGGAAGCAUUACAUGAGUUUGUAGAUAUUCCACAAGAGUGCACAAUUGAUCUAAUAGGUCAAACUAAUUCUCUGAGAAGAGCUAGUUUAUGGAAAGAGAGAUGAGUUUUUUUGUUACCCCACAAGUGCCGGAGAAGGAUAUACAUUCUGGUAGUAAAACUUAACUUCUGAUGAACUAUUUGAAUUUCUGGAUUUCAAUGCCUAAGCUAGAGGAGAGUCACUUAUAUUUGUAUAUUUGGAUCAUUUUAACGUCAACAACCGUAAUCUCUAAUAUGAGAGGUAUUAGAAACAUGUCUAAAACUGAAUCUAUAUAUUUUAUGUAUAUUUUUACAUAUUCUUAGAGGUAUUUUCACGUAUUGACUCUAUACUUUCUGCAGAUAAGAAGCUUUAUAAUUAACAAAUGAAUUUUGUGAUCAUCCUUUCUUACUUUAAAUUAAAAACAGAUGUAAGUAUUUACUAGAAACUUGAGGACACUAGCAUUCCAUGUUUGAAUAAAAGUUGCAAUAGGUUAAUUGCUUGACGCGAAUAUAGUUAUUCUACUUAGAUACUAUCUUAAUAUGCUUGAAAUAUGAAAAAUAUAAGGUAUAGAGGUAUCAGAUGGUUAAGAUUGAAGAUGUCAGGUUGCAGUACUUGACGCUAACCGCUUUAAGUAUAACUCAUUUAGGUUAAUUGACGCCCAAAAUGUUGUUAUUUGCUUCAUGGGCUUUUAGCAGUUUAAUAACUGCUUGAAUUGCUUGGAUAUGGUUAUGGAUUUUCUUGUUCAUAAUGGUCAUCACCAGUUCCUUCCUAAUACUUUUAUGUUCCAUAAUUUUGGUGUCAUUGGUUUUUCAUCAUGGAGGUGAGUUAUUGUGUUAGGGGCUAUCAUAUGAGACAACUUCUUCUUUAGGGGAUUCGGGUAUCUGUAUUUUAGUUAAUGGUUAUGGUGUUUUUUCCUAGGGACUGGAUGCUUCUUGGCAAACUUGAUUGAUAUACCCUUUUUAUUCUAAAUGGAGCUUAUUAUAUGUUGUUGUGGAAUAUAUAAUAUAUCAUUCGCAGGGGGAAGUUUUCCAAUAGUCAGAGUUUAACAUAUAUUUUUUUUAAAAUGGUAAUAAAUAUGUCAUUGACAUAUUAUUGCUAAUAGCCAAAGGAUAAUACCCCAAAUAAAUCCAACCUAGCCUUGGUUGAUUGCUUUCUUAGUAUAAACGGAAGGCUGUUGGUGUAAAUUUUUUAUUUUAAGGAAUUAAUGGACAAAAUCCUAUGUUAGUCAUCCUAAAAGUUACCUUACUUACUGUCGUUCUUCUUUAUCCUUUUCCAGUUGUUAUCUCUCUUUCUUGGAUUUUGCAUACAAUGUUUGCAUCAUAGAUGUAAUCUUUAUUUUCUUCGAGGUCUGGAAGUUUUGUUUUGGUGCCUAGGGAUUGCAAAUGGGAGUACCAUUUCUUGGCUGGAAAAGCUCAACUCCUUUGCUUCUAUUUUCGUUCUUCGUUACGCCUUGAAUUGUCUGCCCCAUAUGCCUCAAACCAUUCAAUUUUUAACUAUUUGAUUAUAGUUUAUAUGGUAUUGUUGAAGGAUUUGUGUCUACACCGUUACAUCUUUUUGUUUGAUUUACUCGUGAGUUUGACUCCUUUUGGUGUUAAAGCAUUUGUUGAGUUACAUUGCAUGAUACAAGAGAUUGUGUGAUCAUUUGUGAGAUAAGCUUUUUAAUGUGAUAAAUUUUGUUCAUACCUGCUCUUCUUAAUUUUUUGUUUUUUAUUUUUCAUGUUUCCAGGGCACUGCAGUUAAUAUAAUAGUAGGGUCUUAUGUAUGGUUUGAGGACCCUGAUGUAGCUUCGGUUGAUGGAUUAGUAGAGAAAAUAUCAAACGGGAAAGCAGAUAUUGAGAGGACUGAUGGAAAGAAGGUUGUUAGGUAAUUGUCACCAAUUUAUCCAAAAGAUGUGGAAGCUCAAGCUGCGGGUGUGGAUGACAUGACCAAAUUAUCCUAUUUGCAUAAGCUUGGACUACUGCAGAACCUCAAAACAAGAUACGAAAUCAAUGAAGUUUACGUAAGAUACUGUAUUGAUUGCUUGUAUUAUGUUUGAUAUUAUGUUUGAUAUUAAGCUCUUUCUUGUGUACAGUUCAGACAACAGUGCCCAUACCAUUUGGAUCA